CGCGGCCUAUCAGCUUGUUGGUGGGGUGAUGGCCUACCAAGGUGACGACGGGUAGCCGGCCUGAGAGGGCGACCGGCCACACUGGGACUGAGACACGGCCCAGACUCCUACGGGAGGCAGCAGUGGGGAAUAUUGCACAAUGGGCGGAAGCCUGAUGCAGCGACGCCGCGUGAGGGAUGACGGCCUUCGGGUUGUAAACCUCUUUCAGCAGGGACGAAGCGUGAGUGACGGUACCUGCAGAAGAAGCGCCGGCCAACUACGUGCCAGCAGCCGCGGUAAGACGUAGGGCGCGAGCGUUGUCCGGAUUUAUUGGGCGUAAAGAGCUCGUAGGCGGCUUGUCGCGUCGACUGUGAAAACCCGCAGCUCAACUGUGGGCUUGCAGCCGAUACGGGCAGGCUAGAGUUCGGUAGGGGAGACUGGAAUUCCUGGUGUAGCGGUGAAAUGCGCAGAUAUCAGGAGGAACACCGGUGGCGAAGGCGGGUCUCUGGGCCGAUACUGACGCUGAGGAGCGAAGGCGUGGGGAGCGAACAGGAUUAGAUACCCUGGUAGUCCACGCUGUAAACGUUGGGCGCUAGGUGUGGGGGGCCUCUCCGGUUCUCUGCGCCGCAGCUAACGCAUUAAGCGCCCCGCCUGGGGAGUACGG
This 643-nucleotide ribosomal RNA is filed under the name uncultured bacterium. RNAcentral describes it as "bacterial SSU rRNA". It matches the Rfam family "Bacterial small subunit ribosomal RNA", at positions 232 to 885 of the family's 1533-position model. The record is from RNAcentral.